UAAAAAUACAGAUUUUAAUACCCGUCUUAUUUUAGUUCUAAGACUUGGCAAUUGCCAGGUAUCAUCCUUUCGAUUUACCCAGGUCCACCGUCGAGGCCACAAGGGAGAUUUCUUCCAGAGAGAGGAUAGAGUUAUUAAGUCUAAAGUCCAUUAUUUGCUUUUGUCCUUCAGGAAAAGAUGGUCCUGACUCUGGGUGGAUCUAACAAGGAUCCUGGAACUCCAGUUCUGCUUUUUGGAUUUACCGGGAACUUCCCAGUCCAGACGAUUGGAAUUACAGCAUUAUACUUUGACUGGUAUGAUCUUCUGCUUUCGGGAACGCUGCGAGGAGCUUUGUGAGUCGAGGGCGAUGGUUCUCCCCGAGAAUACCUCGGCGCCGGCCGGAGUUUGAUCGACACUCGAUCUC
Long non-coding RNA from Harpia harpyja (harpy eagle), 403 nucleotides. RefSeq lists it as uncharacterized. The record is from RefSeq and is a predicted model, not a curated record. The transcript has 4 exons. NCBI's taxonomy places the organism in Eukaryota, Metazoa, Chordata, Aves, Accipitriformes, Accipitridae.